AUCCAGCUGACGAGUCCCAAAUAGGAUGAAACAUGUGUUUUUCAU
Molecule: non-coding RNA, 45 nt
Filed under: Schistosoma mattheei
Lineage: Eukaryota; Metazoa; Platyhelminthes; Trematoda; Strigeidida; Schistosomatidae
Source: RNAcentral